This 483-nucleotide ribosomal RNA is filed under the name uncultured bacterium. Its description in RNAcentral is "partial 16S ribosomal RNA". It matches the Rfam family "Bacterial small subunit ribosomal RNA", at positions 29 to 507 of the family's 1533-position model. The record is from RNAcentral.
AUUGAACGCUGGCGGCAUGCCUAACACAUGCAAGUCGAACGGCAGCGCGGGGUCAACCCUGGCGGCGAGUGGCGGACGGGUGAGGAAUGCAUAGGAAUCUGCCCGGUUGUGGGGGAUAACGUAGGGAAACUUACGCUAUCCCGCAUACGACCUUCGGGUGAAAGUGGGGGACGUUCGGGCCUCACGCGAUCGGAUGAGCCUAUGCCCGAUUAGCUAGGUGGCGGGGUACGAGCUCACCAAGGCGACGAGCGGUAGCUGGUCUGAGAGGAUGAUCAGCCACACUGGGAGUGGAACACGGCCCAGACUGCUACGGGAAGCAGCAGUGGGGAAUAUUGGACGAAGGGAGCAAGCAUGAUCCAGCAAUGCGGGGUGUGUGAAGAAGGCAUUCGGGCUGUAAAGCAGUUGUGUUCGGGAAGAAAUCCGUGUGGUUAAUACCCAGACGGGAUGACGGUACCGAAAGAAUAAGCACCGGCUAACUUCGUG